This 492-nucleotide ribosomal RNA is filed under the name uncultured bacterium. Its description in RNAcentral is "partial 16S ribosomal RNA". It matches the Rfam family "Bacterial small subunit ribosomal RNA", at positions 29 to 507 of the family's 1533-position model. The record is from RNAcentral.
AGUGAACGCUGGCGGUAGGCCUAACACAUGCAAGUCGAACGGCAGCACAGUAAGAGCUUGCUCUUACGGGUGUCGAGUGGCGGACGGGUGAGGAAUACAUCGGAAUCUACUUUUUCGUGGGGGAUAACGUAGGGAAACUUACGCUAAUACCGCAUACGACCUACGGGUGAAAGCAGGGGAUCUUCGGACCUUGCGCGAUUGAAUGAGCCGAUGUCGGAUUAGCUAGUUGGCGGGGUAAAGGCCCACCAAGGCGACGAUCCGUAGCUGGUAUGAGAGGAUGAUGAGCCACAAUGGAACUGAGACACGGUCCCGACUCCUACGGGAGGCAGCAGUGGGGAAUAUUGGACAAUGGGCGCAAGCCUGAUCCAGCCAUACCGCGUGGGUGAAGAAGGCCUUCGGGUUGUAAAGACCUUUUGUUGGGAAAGAAAAGCAGCAGGUUAAUACCCCGCUGUUCUGACGGUACCCAAAGAAUAAGCGCCGGCUAACUUCGUG